AGAGUUGGAUCCUGGUUCAGAUUGAACGCUGGCGGAAUGCUUUACACAUGCAAGUCGAACGGUAGAGGGGGCAACCCCUUGAGAGUGGCGAAGGGGUGAGUAAUGUAUCGGAACGUGCCCAGUCGUGGGGGAUAACGUAGUGAAAAUUACGCUAAUACCGCAUACGACCUAUGGAUGAAAGCGGGGGAUCGCAAGACCUCGCGCGAUUGGAGCGGCCGAUAUCAGAUUAGGUAGUUGGUGGGGUAAAGGCUCACCAAGCCAACGAUCUGUAGCUGGUCUGAGAGGACGACCAGCCACACUGGAACUGAGACACGGUCCAGACUCCUACGGGAGGCAGCAGUGGGGAAUUUUGGACAAUGGACGCAAGUCUGAUCCAGCCAUUCCGCGUGCAGGACGAAGGCCUUCGGGUUGUAAACUGCUUUUGUACGGAACGAAAAAGCUCUUAUUAAUACUAGGAGUCCAUGACGGUACCGUAAGAAUAAGCACCGGCUAACUACGUGCCAGCAGCCGCGGUAAUACGUAGGGUGCAAGCGUUAAUCGGAAUUACUGGGCGUAAAGCGUGCGCAGGCGGUUAUAUAAGACAGAUGUGAAAUCCCCGAGCUUAACUUGGGAACUGCAUUUGUGACUGUAUAGCUAGAGUACGGCAGAGGGGGAUGGAAUUCCGCGUGUAGCAGUGAAAUGCGUAGAUAUGCGGAGGAACACCGAUGGCGAAGGCAAUCCCCUGGGCCUGUACUGACGCUCAUGCACGAAAGCGUGGGGAGCAAACAGGAUUAGAUACCCUGGUAGUCCACGCCCUAAACGAUGUCAACUGGUUGUUGGGUCUUCACUGACUCAGUAACGAAGCUAACGCG
Molecule: ribosomal RNA, 851 nt
Filed under: uncultured bacterium
Lineage: Bacteria
Description: bacterial SSU rRNA
Rfam family: Bacterial small subunit ribosomal RNA
Source: RNAcentral